GGUCGAGCAGGCCGGCGGCGAGGGCCGGCCCCGGUUCGUGGCCGGGGGCCGGUUCGACCACGGCCUUGACCUCC
This 74-nucleotide transfer RNA is filed under the name Streptomyces naganishii JCM 4654. RNAcentral describes it as "tRNA-Asn". The record is from RNAcentral. Lineage: Bacteria; Bacillati; Actinomycetota; Actinomycetes; Kitasatosporales; Streptomycetaceae.